Molecule: ribosomal RNA, 482 nt
Filed under: uncultured bacterium
Lineage: Bacteria
Description: partial 16S ribosomal RNA
Rfam family: Bacterial small subunit ribosomal RNA
Source: RNAcentral
AUUGAACGCUGGCGGCAUGCCUUACACAUGCAAGUCGAACGGUAACGGGCCUUCGGGUGCCGACGAGUGGCGAACGGGUGAGUAAUACAUCGGAACGUGCCCGAUCGUGGGGGAUAACGAGGCGAAAGCUUUGCUAAUACCGCAUACGAUCUACGGAUGAAAGCAGGGGACCGCAAGGCCUUGCGCGGACGGAGCGGCCGAUGGCAGGUUAGGUAGUUGGUGUGAUAAAAGCUUACCAAGCCGACGAUCUGUAGCUGGUCUGAGAGGAUGAUCAGCCACACUGGGACUGAGACACGGCCCAGACUCCUACGGGAGGCAGCAGUGGGGAAUUUUGGACAAUGGGCGCAAGCCUGAUCCAGCCAUGCCGCGUGCAGGAUGAAGGCCUUCGGGUUGUAAACUGCUUUUGUACGGAACGAAAAGCCUUCUUUUAAUACAGGAGGGUCAUGACGGUACCGUAAGAAUAAGCACCGGCUAACUACGUG